RNAcentral lists this ribosomal RNA (253 nucleotides) under uncultured bacterium. Its description in RNAcentral is "partial 16S ribosomal RNA". It matches the Rfam family "Bacterial small subunit ribosomal RNA", at positions 524 to 776 of the family's 1533-position model. The record is from RNAcentral.
UACGAAGGGGGCUAGCGUUGCUCGGAAUCACUGGGCGUAAAGCGCACGUAGGCGGACUCUUAAGUCGGUGGUGAAAUCCUGGAGCUCAACUCCAGAACUGCCUUCGAUACUGAGAGUCUCGAGUCCGAGAGAGGUGAGUGGAACUGCGAGUGUAGAGGUGAAAUUCGUAGAUAUUCGCAAGAACACCAGUGGCGAAGGCGGCUCACUGGCUCGGUACUGACGCUGAGGUGCGAAAGCGUGGGAAGCAAACAGG